CCAGUCCCCGUGACACCCUUGGGAUCCCCGUGACACCCUGGGGCUCCCCAUGGGCACCGUCCAGUCCCCGUGACACCCUUGGGAUCCCCGUGGGCACCAUCCGGUCCCCGUGACACCCUUGGGAUCCUCGUGGGCACCAUCCAGUCCCCGUGACACCCUCGAGAUCCCCGCGACGCCCCGGGGGCCCCCCGGGCGCCCCGCUGACGCCCGCCCGCCGGCGCCCCGCAGGCCCCACGUGGCGGGCGAGAAGGAGCGGGAGGAGGGGCGGGAGGCGAAGCCGCGCUCGCUGCGCUUCACGUGGAGCAUGAAGACGACGAGCGCCCUGGAGCCCAACGAGAUGAUGCGGGAGAUCCGCAAGGUGCUGGACGCCAACAGCUGCCAGUGCGAGCUGCAGGAGAAGUACGUGCUGCUGUGCGUGCACGGCGCGCCGGGCCACGACUCCUUCGUGCAGUGGGAGAUGGAGGUGUGCAAGCUGCCGCGCCUCUCGCUCAACGGCGUCCGCUUCAAGCGCAUCGCCGGCACCUCCAUGGCCUUCAAGAACAUUGCCUCCAAGGUGGCCAACGAGCUCAAGCUCUGAGCGCGGCCCUCUCUCCCCCCCGCCGCCGCCCGGGGACGCCGGGGACCUGCCGCGGGGACGAGGAGGAAGGGGGCGGCCACCCCCCGCCCCGGGGGGCGACGCCGGGACCUCGCUGCGACGGCGGCGGUUGGGGACGUGCCGGGACUGAAGAGGACGUGCCGGGGCCUCGCGGCGACGUGCGGACGUCCUGGAUGUGCCGGGGCCUUAUGGGGACAUGCCAGGGCCUCGUGGGGACACGGGGACAUCCUGGAUGUGCCAGGGCCUUGCAGGGACAUGGGGACAUCCUGGAUGUGCCAGGGCCUCAUGGGGACACGGGGACAUCCUGGAUGUGCCAGGGCCUCGCAGGGACACAGGGACAUCCUGGACGUGCCAGGGCCUCGUGGGGACAUGGGGACAUCCCGGACGUGCCUGGGCCUUGUGGGGAUGGAUCAGGGCUUUGCGGGGAUACGCCACGACCUUAUGGGGACACGGGGAUGUCCCCAGGCCCUCCGGGGACGUCCUGGAGCCUUACGGGGACGUGAGGACGUCCCUGGGCCCUCUGGGGACGUCCAGGAUGUCCCCGGGCCCUGUGGGGACUUCCCAGGGUCCUACAGGGACAUUAUGGGGAUGUGGGGAUGUCCUGGACAUCCUGGGGCCGUAUGGAGACAUCAUGGAGCCUUACGGGGACGAUGGGGACGUCGCAGGGACACGGGGACGUCCUGGUACCCUACACGGACUUUAUGGGGACAUGGGGACGUCCUGGAUGUCCCAGGGCCCUACGGGGACAUUACAGGGACAUGGGGAUGUCACGGAUGUCCCAGGAUCCCAUGGGGAUGUCCUGAGUGUCCCACGACCCCAUGGGGACAUCCCGGACAUCCUGGUGCCCCAUGGGGACGUCCCGGAUGUC
This 1463-nucleotide long non-coding RNA is filed under the name Apteryx haastii (Great spotted kiwi). RNAcentral describes it as "lncRNA (ENSAHAG00000011362.1)". The record is from RNAcentral. Lineage: Eukaryota; Metazoa; Chordata; Aves; Apterygiformes; Apterygidae.